This 809-nucleotide ribosomal RNA is filed under the name Dysteria crassipes. RNAcentral describes it as "partial small subunit ribosomal RNA". It matches the Rfam family "Bacterial small subunit ribosomal RNA", at positions 524 to 1485 of the family's 1533-position model. Lineage: Eukaryota; Ciliophora; Phyllopharyngea; Dysteriida; Dysteriidae. The record is from RNAcentral.
UACAUAAGCAGUUAGCGCUACUUAUAUUAGAUGGGUGUAAAAUAAAUUUUGAUUGUUUAUUCGUAGGCAUACUCUUGGGUUUUUUGUAGGGGUAAAAUCCUUUACUAUAAAAAGCAACUCGACUCGAGUGUCUUGUGAGAUAAAAAUUUAGAUUUAAAAGUAUAGGUAGUUAAGAGGAUUAGAGACCCUUGUAAUCUAUACCAUAACUUAUGGGGCGUCAACUAUUUGUUGUAGUUAACGUAAAACGCCUCUACCGAGGGAUAAAAGCCGCAAGGCUGAAACUUAAAAAAAUUGGCGGGAUUUUUUAAAUGGUGGAUCAUGUGGUUUAAUGCGGUAAUCCCCGCAAAACCUUACCAAUAUGCACAUAAUAUUGUUUUUUUAACAAAAAAAAAUUAUUAUAUGCAAGUAUUGCAUGGCUGUCGUCAGUUCGUGUUUUGAAAUGUAGUAUUUAGUUAUAUAACGAACGUAACCUCUGCCCCUACUAUAGGGUUAAGAGACUAAGUCAAGUCUGUAUGAUCUAGGUAUAUUGGGCUACACACGUGAAAUAUUAUCUAAACAGUUUAAAUAGGUUGCAGCGAUGCAGCCUAAUAAAAUUUAUAGUUUAAUAGAUAAAAAGUUUAAAGUCACUUUUUUGAAAUAAAAAUCAUCAGUAAUCGCGGUUCAGAAUGCUGCGGUGAAGGUUAUAAAAAAUUUGCACACACCGCCCAUCACGCCCGAAAAAUUUUUGUAAUUUACGUUUAUAUGGCGCAAUUUGCUAAUAGCGGCUGCCGUAAUAUAAAAAUAAAGUUAUAUAAGUAAUUUGGGUGAAG